Molecule: long non-coding RNA, 1223 nt
Organism: Zophobas morio
Lineage: Eukaryota; Metazoa; Arthropoda; Insecta; Coleoptera; Tenebrionidae
Exons: 3
Source: RefSeq, a predicted model, not a curated record
GUUCAUGGAAUACCUUGGUUCAUGGUACAUAACUGUGGUACAUACGUACUAGACAACCUAGUAUAAAAACUACAGUUACUUACAUUUAUCACACGGGUAAAUGUCUAACAAACCUUCAGCCAGCUUGAGCGAUGUAUGGAUCCUCGUCAUAUUUUUGAAAAACGUCCCCUCGCAACUGAAUCAUUACAUCAUUAACAAUCAUCACAACAAAAGGACAAAAUAUGGGUAACAUGCAGAUCGAGGACAUUUGUAAUUAAUUCGAUGUAGAACAAAGAUUUUCUUUAAUGACGCUAAUCUCUGACUAGAGGAUAUCAACCAAUGAGAAGAUGGCAAUCGUCUCGCACCGUGAAUCGCAUUGUGCUGAAACAAGUUUCAACUUGUGCCUUGUGUCCGUAACUUGAACUGAGCCAAGUCCCAAGUCUGUUAAUUUUCCAAUAGCUUAGAUUUUAUAUCAGUUAAUUAAUUUUAUCAGUCAAUGAUUUUGGGUAAACACUGUGUGUAAAAAUAUUAAAAAUGAAAGUUAUGCGGUUCUUUGCGAACCGUACACUCAAAAUACUUUCAACUGUGCAUACAGGGUGUUCUGUUUUUAAGGCAUAACACACAUCUUACUUUUUUCAAAUAGAAAACCUACAUAUUUUUACAUAUUCUAAUUUACCUCUUCUAACCCCAAUUUAUUUUUAAAAUCUGUGUUACAAUAUUUUGUAGAAAAAUAAAUAAAGGUAUGCACUUUUGUUGUUGUAUAUCUAAAUAAAAUUAAGUCUUAAUAUACAGAGUGUUUGCAAAGACAAUAUUAUUGCAAUUUUCAAAUAUCGAUAUUUUUUGUUCUCUUUCUUUUUUUCUUAAGUAUUUUCUGUAUUUAACGUUGAUAGUUACUGCGAUUUUAAUUUUUUUUAAGAGACACGCUGACAUAACGCAAACAAGAGAACGAAAAACAGACUAAGGGGGCAAUUUCAAGUUGGAUUUGCGAAAUCGCAAGUGCCGUUGCUAUGGUAAUUUCGAUGACAGUUGUUGCAAUUCGCGAUAUGAUUCGUCCUCGCGACUGCUGUCAUCGCAUCUUCCAUGGCAACGAGGACUUGCGAAAUUGUAAAUCCAACUUGAAAUUGGCCCGUAAGAUACAGUAAUAAAAUACACAGUGAUCUAUCUGGAAAAACUGAAAUAUCAUUAUAUGAAAAUUGUAACCUUUUAGAUUUUUUUUGCAAAUAAAAAUCUUAAAAAUAACAUUA